RNAcentral lists this small RNA (299 nucleotides) under Staphylococcus aureus. RNAcentral's name for it is "Antisense". Lineage: Bacteria; Bacillati; Bacillota; Bacilli; Caryophanales; Staphylococcaceae. The record is from RNAcentral.
UGCGGAUGUUAAUGUUUCAGCAUUAAUGACACCUGAAGAUCAAGAUGACAUCAUUGCUGUUAAGACGAUACAUGCUGAACAUGAUGUUGUAGAAGCAUUGCGGACGUUGCGACUUGUGAUAGAUAUGUCAAAAGAACCUGACUUGUAUUUACAAAUUAGUGCAAUUAGCGCUGGGAUUCCACAAAUUAAUGGUCAACAAACAGAUUACGUCUCUGAUUAUGACAAUGGCCGUAUUAUAAAUACAGUUGAUGAAUUAGAUGAUGCGUUAAAUUAUUAUUUAUUUUAUUUGAAAAAUUGGA